Molecule: ribosomal RNA, 273 nt
Filed under: uncultured bacterium
Lineage: Bacteria
Description: partial 16S ribosomal RNA
Rfam family: Bacterial small subunit ribosomal RNA
Source: RNAcentral
UACGAGGGGUGCAAACGUUAUUCGGAAUCACUGGGCGUAAAGGGUGUGUAGACGGUAUGAUAAGUCGAUUAUAAAAUCUUCUAGCUCAACUAGAAGUCCGUAAUCGAAACUAUCAAACUAGAGGAUGGAAGAGAGAAGUGGAAUUCUCGGAGUAGCGGUAAAAUGCGUAGAUCUCGAGAGGAACACCGAUGGCGAAAGCAGCUUCUUGGUCCAUAUCUGACGUUGAAACACGAAAGCGUGGGGAGCAAACAGGAUUAGAAACCCCAGUAGUCC